RNAcentral lists this small nuclear RNA (103 nucleotides) under Erinaceus europaeus (western European hedgehog). Its description in RNAcentral is "7SK RNA". The record is from Rfam by way of RNAcentral. Lineage: Eukaryota; Metazoa; Chordata; Mammalia; Eulipotyphla; Erinaceidae.
AUGUGAAGGUGACCUGGCUGCAACAGCUGUCACUCCACUGAUUGCCACAGUUCCUUUGGCUGAAUUGGCUGCUACCUGAGUGUCCCCUUCCAGCUACAUAAUU